GUACCCUCUACUCAGGUGCCAAAGACCUAUCUCGGCAUGCUCGUCGGCUCCGUAUGUGCCUUAAUGGGAGUGCUGACUAUCGCUCUACCAGUUCCUGUGAUCGUAUCCAAC
Molecule: non-coding RNA, 111 nt
Organism: Heligmosomoides polygyrus
Lineage: Eukaryota; Metazoa; Nematoda; Chromadorea; Rhabditida; Heligmosomidae
Source: Rfam